AAAGAUCACUCCGCGACACACUCGAUGCGGCGCUGUCGUUCAGCAGCAGAUGACGCGCUGUCUGCGGCUGACUUGUCAUUCCCACUCGCAAUCACCGCUGUCAUCAAAAUGGACUUAUGCUAGCAACAAGUUCUGACUGAACUCAAUUGUCAUGAAACCCAUAUACAGCGAUUAGUUUUUCUCUCUUUCACACAAACUUAUAACGAGGAGCGACCACAAUAUGUUUUGUGCGGGGAAAUGCUUAGUAACGAGUCUCUCAAAACGAACGAAUUACUAAAACGACGUGUCCUGACCAAACAUCCUCAGCAUGAUGGUAAACCCAGGGAGUUAUUUGAGAACAGGGCAGAAUGCUACAGGAAACAGUGCUUCGACAGUGGAAAAGCUCCCCCGCAUUGAGCACUUCCGCCAUCAUUACGCACGCCAGCCUUCCCCCCCCCCCCCGUCACGCGCAUCAGCGAUUACUGGACUCACCUGGACUCAAUCACCUCUGUCAUUACCUUCCAUAUAUCUGUCUGGUUACCCGCUCUGUUCCCUGCUCCAGCAUUAAUUGUCGUUUGUCGUUGUUUACCCGUGUACUGACGCUGUUCCUGAAUAAUUGUUGACUCGCCGUACCUGCUUCUCAUUUCCCGGCAUCGGUCCUUAAACCAGCUAUCAGUAAGGCUGAAGGACAGGCUAGAGAGAGUCUGAGGACGGCAGUGUCUGUUAAUCACUCAGGGAUAAAUAGAGAGGCAGAGCUCAGAGUUUGUCAGAAGGCUGACCUGACAGGGUCACGCACAGGACCAAGCAGGAGAAGGACCGCAGCAUUUUACCCUUUAUUACAAAUGGACGAACACAAAGAUGCUCAAUACUGUUUUGAAAACCUAAACUCUUCUUGCUGAAAGGUGUUGCUAUCGACAUCUAUUUACAUAACACUGUACAUCUUCUUAUUGAUUUCAGCAGUUACAGUAUUUUUUAACAUACUGGUGAUCAUCUCCAUCUCUCACUUCAAGCAGCUCAUCACUCCACCAACCUGCUCACCUUCUCUGGCUGUGGAAGAUCCCCUGGUGGGGCUGAUUGUGAUACCAGUAGCGACAGUAGCAGUAAUGGAAUCAUCCUAAGUUUUUGGGAAAUAUUCCUGUGAAUGUUUUCUCUACAUUGGUUAUGUAAUUCUUUCUUCAUCUUUGGGCAAUUUGGUCUUGAUAUCUAGUGACUGCUAUGUUGAUGUGUGUGAUCCCUUGUUGUACCACUCUAAAAUAACAAUAUCAAGAAUUAUACUACUGGUGGGUCUAAUCCUGAAUGCUGAUUGGUUAAAACCGCAUUCCAACCAGUGUCUAUUCCACAAGUUAUCACUGGCUAAAUCUAUGACAUUAAAAUGCCUAUUUACUCUAUUCCAUCUGGCAGCAGAAUCAACUGUCUCAUCAGCCCAGCCAGGCAAUUUAUAAACUUGAUCUCUACUAUAAAAAGCAUGUAGACAUUAUCUCACAUUUCUUUUACACUUUAGUUUUCAACUAUAAACCUUGCUGUCUGUCUCUCCGACGUUUGCAACAUUGUUUCAAUAUUCAAAUUCGAUCUCCAGCUGUCCCAUAGUAAUUAAUGUGUCGGGAGGCAGGGCGAGACAGGCAGGCAGCGUGGCAGCGUUUCUCAGCCAGUCAAAAUCAUGAAUCAGCUGCCAUCAUUUUUAUGGAUAUAUACAAAGAAAUGUCAAAUGAAGUGCAGCUAGUACAUUUUCUAUGCCAGGCAAAAUCACACCUCAUUAGCUCAUUGUUAUGGAUGUAUCUGAAAAUGUCACAAAAAAACUGCUUAAACAAAUGCAAAUGCAGCUACUGUUGUUAUUCUGGCUGCACUGUUUGACGUGACUAAGUUAAUCGUAGCUGGCUGGCUGGCUAGCAAGCAAGGGAUAAGAACCUUGCCAGCCAGUAUGGCUAUGGGACAUUUAUGACAAACGACUGGGUCUCGUCCAAAAGACUGAACGACUGGAGCGCGUCUCUGGCAACCAAACCGAUAGAACGAACGACCAGCCGGCUUGGGAAGCAACCAUAGAUUUGAGUCGGGACUAUAUCUUGUGGAAGGAGGAAAUAGUAUGAAUAAAUUAACCCGUUGUAGAAAAGUGAUAAUGCUCUCGAAGUUGGUGUUUGGAGGAUAUAUUACCAUGGUUUGUCGGCUCUCGACUUCGUCUCAGGCCUAACACCGGUGCCAAUAUAUCCUCCAAAUACCGGCAUCUCAGGGUUUAUCACUUAAUUAUGCGUUGUAUAUCUAUUACCUGGUGGUGUUGUAUCGUAUACAGUGCUGCUAUUGUAAAUGACUCUGCAAAUGUACAGGUACCCAGGAGGUGUUUUAAAUAAUGUUUUAUUGUUGAAGGAUUUAACUGGAGUAGCAUCAUUGACCUUUUAAUUACGAUGGUUGUCCCGUGCUCUAUUAUUAUAAGGCUUUAUUUUUCAAAAGAGGCUGGCACCAAGUCUGGUCUUAAAAUCGUACAGGCAAAUAAGUCUGAGGGAAGAGCAGCAAAAACUCUAGGUAUUGUUGUUUUCAACUGUCUUGUUGGAUUCCCGCCCAAAAUUAUACAUUUUUCAUUCUCCAAUCAUCACCGUACAUCUUUCUGCCACUUGUUAAUUCCUUUAUUAAUCCAAUACUUUAUGCUUUAUUUUAUCCAUGGUUCAAAGUGACAGCUAGACAUAAUUUUACUCUGAAGUUGAAGCGUUCAUAGUUCCUACCUUUUUAUUCCUAAAUUUGACAUACACAGGGUUGAUAUUGUUAUGUUAAUACAUCUAGACGUUCCGCUAGCGGAACACCUGCUCCAAUAUCCAAUGAUAGGCGUGGCGCGAAUUACAAAUUCCUCAAAAAUACAAAAACUUCAAUUUUUCAAACAUAUGACUAUUUCACAGCAUUUUAAAGACAAGACUCUCCUUUAUCU
Molecule: non-coding RNA, 2890 nt
Organism: Salmo salar (Atlantic salmon)
Lineage: Eukaryota; Metazoa; Chordata; Actinopteri; Salmoniformes; Salmonidae
Source: RefSeq, a predicted model, not a curated record